This 66-nucleotide transfer RNA is filed under the name Pterobdella arugamensis. RNAcentral describes it as "tRNA-Trp". Lineage: Eukaryota; Metazoa; Annelida; Clitellata; Hirudinida; Piscicolidae. The record is from RNAcentral.
AAGAUUUUAAGUUAAAAUUUAAACUAAAAACCUUCAAAGUUUUAAAUAGGUGUAACCUAAAUCUUG